This 584-nucleotide long non-coding RNA is filed under the name Danio rerio (zebrafish). RNAcentral's name for it is "lncRNA si:dkey-222o15.3 (ENSDARG00000104819.2)". Lineage: Eukaryota; Metazoa; Chordata; Actinopteri; Cypriniformes; Danionidae. The record is from RNAcentral.
AUUGUCCUUCUAGUUCAGAUUGUGAUGGACCUGGAAUGCGACACCAGUUACUCUUAAGUCAAGAACCAAAUGAAGCACCAGAGUACAGAUUAUGGAGGUAUCUGAAGUUGAACUAACUGGAAGCAGGGAACCAUACUAAUAAAGUUCCUUAAGCAGGUUCCUUGUAAAGAUUAACCCAGGGAAGGAUCGAAAGUGGAGAAGACCAGAUCAAGAAAGACCACAUCAAGAUCUGCGGUCAGUUCAAAGGAUUUUUUUGCAUUGGACUGUUUUUUUUUUUUUGGCUUUGACCCUUGCUCGCCCCUGACCUCACUCUUGGACUGCCCUGUUGGAUUUUCAGUUUAUUUUAUUUUAUUUUUUUUGGGUUCUGGGUAGAUGCUAAUAAAUAUUUAGUUGUAAUUAUUUAAAUAAUAUGUUUUUUGUUAAAUAUGCGAUUUCUGUGUUUGUUCUGUCUACUCGUACUUGUUUAUCUUGUUUCUGUAAUUAUCAUUUGUUUAUUUGACUCUUGCCUCGCCUCUGAUCUUGUUUUUGGAUUGCCCUUUAUAUAUCUUUUUAAUUAUUGGUUCUGGUUAUAUGGUUAUAAAAUA